Molecule: transfer RNA, 75 nt
Filed under: Candidatus Rokuibacteriota bacterium
Lineage: Bacteria; Candidatus Rokuibacteriota
Also listed under: 1 other name
Description: Candidatus Rokubacteria bacterium tRNA-Met
Rfam family: tRNA
About the family: Transfer RNA (tRNA) molecules are approximately 80 nucleotides in length.
Source: RNAcentral
GGGCCCAUAGCUCAACGGCAGAGCACCCGGCUCAUAACCGGAACGGUCUUGGUUCGAAUCCAGGUGGGCCCACCA